Molecule: long non-coding RNA, 599 nt
Filed under: Malus domestica (apple)
Lineage: Eukaryota; Viridiplantae; Streptophyta; Magnoliopsida; Rosales; Rosaceae
Description: long non-coding RNA (MDOM_LNC017351)
Source: RNAcentral
AUCCACUAGUGUAAAUAUUUUAAAUUGAAGAUCGAAUUCAAUCAUUGUAUUCAUAUAAGGUCAAGGAGUAUAGCUGAAAAAAAUCAUCAAAAUCAGAGUUAAAAUGACCGUUAAAUCGUGAUUUUUCUUUUUAUAACCGUCGAAAAGUUUUGUCCCGUUAAUUGAUCUCUGAAUUUUUGUUUUUUGUAAUUUUUGACGUAUGCGAUCUCGAAGUAUAUACAAACAUGUUUGACAGUUGGAUCUUUGAAACUAGUUUCGUAGAAUGAGUAUCCCAUCAAAACAAUAGAUUUACUAAUACUUAAUAGUUUAUUCAAACUUUUAUUAAGUAUAACAUAAGAUUUUGUGGUAUCCACUAGUGUAAAUAUUUUAAAUUGAAGAUUGAAUUCAAUCAUUGUAUUCAUAUAGGGUCAAGGAGUGUAGUUGUAAACAAUCAUCAAAAUCGGAGUUAAAAUGACCGUUAAAUCGUGAUUUUUCGUUUAUAACCGUUGAAAUGUUUUGUCCCGUUACUUGAUCUCUGAAUGUUUUUUUUUUGCAAUUUUUGGCGUAUGCGAUCUCGAAGUAUAUAUAAACAUGUUUGACGGUUGGAUCAUUGAAACUAG